ACUCGUUGUUGGGAGUAUGAUAAGAUUUUAAGAAUUGUUUUAAAGAUAAGUUUACAAAAUAUAUUGGGGCUCUUUGAUGGUGGUAUCCCCAAGAACUAAAAAUGCUUCAAGAGGAGUCUGAUAUAGAUGAAUAAUUUGUUUGGUGAACCUGAAAUCUUAAAGAUGCUUUUCUCGGUUUGCAUAUCAAUGGAAGGCGACAAUGAGCUGCUUUCGGCAAUCAAGGUUAACCUAUUGACGGAGCGGAAGUACCGUCUAAUA
Molecule: long non-coding RNA, 258 nt
Filed under: Brassica napus (rape)
Lineage: Eukaryota; Viridiplantae; Streptophyta; Magnoliopsida; Brassicales; Brassicaceae
Description: long non-coding RNA (BNAP_LNC007425)
Source: RNAcentral